AGCAUAUCAAUAAGCGGAGGAAAAGAAACCAACCGGGAUUGCCUCAGUAACGGCGAGUGAAGCGGCAAGAGCUCAAAUUUGAAAUCUGGCCCCUUUGGGGUCCGAGUUGUAAUUUGCAGAGGAUGCUUCGGGUGCGGUCCCCGUCUAAGUGCCCUGGAAAGGGCCGUCAUAGAGGGUGAUAAUCCCGUCUGGGAUGGGCGGCCGCGCCCGUGUGAAGCUCCUUCGACGAGUCGAGUUGUUUGGGAAUGCAGCUCUAAGCGGGUGGUAGAUUCCAUCUAAAGCUAAAUAUUGGCCGGAGACCGAUAGCGCACAAGUAGAGUGAUCGAAAGAUGAAAAGCACUUUGAAAAGAGAGUUAAACAGCACGUGAAAUUGUUGAAAGGGAAGCGUUGUCCACCAGACUCGCCCGGGGGGGCUCAGCCGGCACGUGUGCCGGUGUACUCCUCUCCGGGCGGGCCAGCAUCGGUUUGGGCGGCUGGUGAAAGGCCCCGGGAAUGUAACACCCUCCGGGGUGCCUUAUAGCCCGGGGUGCCAUGCAGCCAGCCUGGACCGAGGCCCGCGCUUCGGCGAGGAUGCUGGCGUAAUGGUGGUCAACGGCCCGUCUUGAAACACGGACCAAGGAGUCUAACAUCUAUGCGAGUGUUCGGGUGUCAAACCCGUCCGCGCAGUGAAAGCGAACGGAGGUGGGAGCCCCUCGGGGCGCACCAUCGACCGAUCCUGAUGUCUUCGGAUGGAUUUGAGUAAGAGCAUAGCUGUUGGGACCCGAAAGAUGGUGAACUAUGCCUGAAUAGGGCGAAGCCAGAGGAAACUCUGGUGGAGGCUCGCAGCGGUUCUGACGUGCAAAUCGAUGCGUCAAAUUUGGGUAUAGGGGCGAAAGACUAAUCGAACCAUCUGGUAGCUGGUUUCCUGCCGAAG
This 913-nucleotide ribosomal RNA is filed under the name Talaromyces flavus. Its description in RNAcentral is "partial large subunit ribosomal RNA". It matches the Rfam family "Eukaryotic large subunit ribosomal RNA", at positions 37 to 966 of the family's 3401-position model. The record is from RNAcentral. Lineage: Eukaryota; Fungi; Ascomycota; Eurotiomycetes; Eurotiales; Trichocomaceae.